CAGUCGCCGCGGGAAUACGAGGGGGGCAAGCGUUGUUCGGAAUUAUUGGGCGUAAAGCGUGCGUAGGCGGUGAGUUAAGUCUGCUGUGAAAUCCCCGGGCUCAACCUGGGAACUGCAUCCAAAACUGGCGAGCUAGAGUAUGGUAGAGGGUGGUGGAAUUUCCUGUGUAGCGGUGAAAUGCGUAGAUAUAGGAAGGAACAUCAGUGGCGAAGGCGACCACCUGGACUGAUACUGACACUGAGGUGCGAAAGCGUGGGGAGCAAACAGGAUUAGAUACCCCCGUAGUCCCUGUCUCUUAUAC
This 301-nucleotide ribosomal RNA is filed under the name uncultured bacterium. RNAcentral describes it as "partial 16S ribosomal RNA". It matches the Rfam family "Bacterial small subunit ribosomal RNA", at positions 509 to 807 of the family's 1533-position model. The record is from RNAcentral.